This 301-nucleotide ribosomal RNA is filed under the name uncultured bacterium. RNAcentral's name for it is "partial 16S ribosomal RNA". It matches the Rfam family "Bacterial small subunit ribosomal RNA", at positions 509 to 807 of the family's 1533-position model. The record is from RNAcentral.
CAGUAGCCGCGGGAAUACGAAGGGGGCUAGCGUUGCCCGGAAUGACUGGGCGUAAAGGGCGCGUAGGCGGUUUUGACAGUCAGACGUGAAAUUCCUGGGCUUAACCUGGGGGCUGCAUUUGAGACGUCAAGACUAGAGUGUGAGAGAGGGUUGUGGAAUUCCCAGUGUAGAGGUGAAAUUCGUAGAUAUUGGGAAGAACACCGGUGGCGAAGGCGGCAACCUGGCUCAUUACUGACGCUGAGGCGCGAAAGCGUGGGGAGCAAACAGGAUUAGAUACCCCCGUAGUCCCUGUCUCUUAUAC